AAAACGACUCUCGGCAACGGAUAUCUCGGCUCACGCAUCGAUCAAGAACGUAGCAAAAUGCGAUACUUGGUGUGAAUUGCAGAAUCCCGUGAACCAUCGAGUUUUUGAACGCAAGUUGCGCCCAAAGCCAUCCGGUUGAGGGCACGUCUGCCUGGGCGUCACC
This 163-nucleotide ribosomal RNA is filed under the name Tragopogon porrifolius (salsify). RNAcentral's name for it is "5.8S ribosomal RNA". It matches the Rfam family "5.8S ribosomal RNA". From Rfam's summary of the family: 5.8S ribosomal RNA (5.8S rRNA) is a component of the large subunit of the eukaryotic ribosome. It is transcribed by RNA polymerase I as part of the 45S precursor that also contains 18S and 28S rRNA. Functionally, it is thought that 5.8S rRNA may be involved in ribosome translocation. Lineage: Eukaryota; Viridiplantae; Streptophyta; Magnoliopsida; Asterales; Asteraceae. The record is from RNAcentral.